UAUGAUUGUAAUUCUCAUUUC
RNAcentral lists this non-coding RNA (21 nucleotides) under Caenorhabditis elegans. The record is from RNAcentral. Lineage: Eukaryota; Metazoa; Nematoda; Chromadorea; Rhabditida; Rhabditidae.